GCAGUAGCCGCGGUAAUACGUAGGGGGCGAGCGUUGUCCGAAGUUACUGGGCGUAAAGCGCGCGUAGGCGGCUUCUUAAGUCUGAGGUGAAAGGUUCAACGCUUAACGUGAACAGUGCCUUGGAUACUGGGGAGCUUGAGUAUGGGAGAGGGCAGCGGAAUGGCUGGUGUAGCGGUGAAAUGCGUAGAUAUCAGUCGGAACACCCAUGGCGAAGGCAGCUGCCUGGCCUAAUAUUGACGCUGAGGUGCGAAAGCGUGGGGAGCGAACGGGAUUAGAUACCCGUGUAGUCCCUGUCUCUUAUA
RNAcentral lists this ribosomal RNA (302 nucleotides) under uncultured bacterium. RNAcentral's name for it is "partial 16S ribosomal RNA". It matches the Rfam family "Bacterial small subunit ribosomal RNA", at positions 508 to 808 of the family's 1533-position model. The record is from RNAcentral.